GGGUGACGAGUGGCGGACGGGUGAGUAAUGUCUGGGAAACUGCCUGAUGGAGGGGGAUAACUACUGGAAACGGUAGCUAAUACCGCAUAACGUCGCAAGACCAAAGAGGGGGACCUUCGGGCCUCUUGCCAUCAGAUGUGCCCAGAUGGGAUUAGCUAGUAGGUGGGGUAACGGCUCACCUAGGCGACGAUCCCUAGCUGGUCUGAGAGGAUGACCAGCCACACUGGAACUGAGACACGGUCCAGACUCCUACGGGAGGCAGCAGUGGGGAAUAUUGCACAAUGGGCGCAAGCCUGAUGCAGCCAUGCCGCGUGUAUGAAGAAGGCCUUCGGGUUGUAAAGUACUUUCAGCGGGGAGGAAGGCGUUAAGGUUAAUAACCUUGUCGAUUGACGUUACCCGCAGAAGAAGCACCGGCUAACUCCGUGCCAGCAGCCGCGGUAAUACGGAGGGUGCAAGCGUUAAUCGGAAUUACUGGGCGUAAAGCGCACGCAGGCGGUCUGUCAAGUCGGAUGUGAAAUCCCCGGGCUCAACCUGGGAACUGCAUUCGAAACUGGCAGGCUAGAGUCUUGUAGAGGGGGG
This 579-nucleotide ribosomal RNA is filed under the name Enterobacter sp. Its description in RNAcentral is "bacterial SSU rRNA". It matches the Rfam family "Bacterial small subunit ribosomal RNA", at positions 86 to 661 of the family's 1533-position model. The record is from RNAcentral. Lineage: Bacteria; Pseudomonadati; Pseudomonadota; Gammaproteobacteria; Enterobacterales; Enterobacteriaceae.